UACACAAUGAAUAUCUAAGAUUAAUAACGAUAGAAUUACAAGCCGUUAUUAAUUUAAGUUCUAUUGGACUUUUUUGAGGAUAAGCUCGAAAAUUGUUGUUGAGGGUUGUAUAAUUUAAAAUUAUUGUGUGGGCCUAAAAUUAGCCACCACGAGAGUUUGUUAUAAAACAAUAAGAAUAUACAAGAAUAUUAUUAUACACAAUACCACGUAAAACCAUAAGAAUAGCAAUCUAAACCUAAAGAUUUGUAUGCCUAUGCUAGGAUGAGUAUUAAAACCACUUGAAUCGAAAGAUAAAAUAUUUCCUCAAAGCAAUAUUUUUUAUAUAAAUUAAGGAGAAGGAAUUCGGCAAAUGUUGUUUCGCCUGUUUAUCAAAAACAUGGCUCUUUGGAAAAGAUAUAUAAAGAGUCGAACCUGCCCAGUGAAUAAUUUUAACGGCCGCGGUACCCUGACCGUGCAAAGGUAGCAUAAUCAUUUGCCUUAUAAUUGAAGGCUGGCAUGAAUGGUCUGACGAGAGCAACACUGUCUCCUCUUUAUUAUCUAAAAAUUAACCUAUGGGUGAAGAGGCCUAUAUUGAAUUGAAGGACAAGAAGACCCUGUCGAGCUUAAAAGAAAAAGUAGGAGUUAGCUAUUAAAUAAAAAUCAAUAAACUAUAAAGCUUUUUAGUUGGGGCGACUAAGGAACAAGCAAAGCUUCUUUUAUUUUUAUAAAUUUAUAGAUUUAGAUCCAGCAAAGCUGAUCAAAGGAAUUAGUUACCGCAGGGAUAACAGCAUAAUCUCCCUUGAGAGACCUAAUCGAAAGGGGGGGUUGUGACCUCGAUGUUGGACUAGAAUAUCCUGAAGAUGCAGACGUCU
Molecule: ribosomal RNA, 851 nt
Filed under: Thiara cf. winteri MTN-2019
Lineage: Eukaryota; Metazoa; Mollusca; Gastropoda; Thiaridae
Description: partial large subunit ribosomal RNA
Rfam family: Bacterial large subunit ribosomal RNA
Source: RNAcentral